AUACAACACCUAUUGCUACAACACAUCUGAACACCACAACACUCACAGCUACUUCACCAACCACUCUAAAAAAUUCAACACUCAUCACUACUACACCCACAGCUACACCGACCACCGCAGUCACCAAUUCAACAUAUAUUGCAACAACAGAUUUAAACACAACAUUCACAGCAACACAACCAUCAAUUGUAACAAGUAAGUACUUUAAAAUAAUGGAAUAGGUUAAUCAUCUUCAGUAAAAAAAUAAAAAUAAAAUAAAAAUCGGUCUCAAUAGGAAAGAACACAAAAAUCAAUCAA
Molecule: long non-coding RNA, 297 nt
Organism: Thunnus maccoyii (southern bluefin tuna)
Lineage: Eukaryota; Metazoa; Chordata; Actinopteri; Scombriformes; Scombridae
Exons: 3
Source: RefSeq, a predicted model, not a curated record